RNAcentral lists this ribosomal RNA (377 nucleotides) under uncultured bacterium. RNAcentral's name for it is "bacterial SSU rRNA". It matches the Rfam family "Bacterial small subunit ribosomal RNA", at positions 524 to 898 of the family's 1533-position model. The record is from RNAcentral.
UACGUAGGGUGCAAGCGUUGUCCGGAUUCAUUGGGCGUAAAGAGCUCGUAGGCGGUCUGCCACGUCGGAUGUGAAAACUCGGGGCUUAACCCCGAGCCUGCAUUCGAUACGGGCAAACUAGAGUGUGGCAGGGGAGACUGGAAUUCCUGGUGUAGCGGUGAAAUGCGCAGAUAUCAGGAGGAACACCGGUGGCGAAGGCGGGUCUCUGGGCCAAUACUGACGCUGAGGAGCGAAAGCGUGGGGAGCAAACAGGAUUAGAUACCCUGGUAGUCCACGCCGUAAACGGUGGGUGCUAGGUGUGGGGAACCUUCCACGUUCUCUGUGCCGCAGCUAACGCAUUAAGCACCCCGCCUGGGGAGUACGGCCGCAAGGCUAAA